Molecule: ribosomal RNA, 396 nt
Filed under: Triticum aestivum (bread wheat)
Lineage: Eukaryota; Viridiplantae; Streptophyta; Magnoliopsida; Poales; Poaceae
Description: partial small subunit ribosomal RNA
Source: RNAcentral
AUGAAAGCUUGCCUAGCGGCUUUUGCGCAAUAUUAUAUCUUUGGACGUUUGCACUUCCGCGGCUCUAGACAUGAGCUUCCUUAUAUGCGCAGGCCUCCAGAAGCUCCAGUGCAUAGCGGACGGCUAAAGCGUGCGGAGAAUGUCAAGACAGGGCGGGGUCGACCGAUUUUGACAUGGGAGGAGUCCGUUAAGAGAGACCUGAAGGAUUGGAGUAUCGACAAAGAGCUAGCUAUGGACAGGGGUGCGUGGAAGCUUGCUAUCCAUGUGCCAGAGCCAUCAGUUGGUUGCGAGAUCUUAUGGGUUUCACCUCUAGCCUACCCCAACUUGUUUGGGACUAAAGGCUUUGUUGUUGUUGUUGUUGUUGUUGUUGUUCUCUUUAUGUUGUAUCACCAAUGA